AGCAUUGAUGCCAGAUUUAAUGGGUGGAUUUUAAGCGUCUAAUAUAAAGAAUUUUGUCUUUUUAGUGUUU
This 70-nucleotide transfer RNA is filed under the name Diplorchis sp. Its description in RNAcentral is "tRNA-Leu". The record is from RNAcentral. Lineage: Eukaryota; Metazoa; Platyhelminthes; Monogenea; Polystomatidea; Polystomatidae.